UACGUAGGUGGCAAGCGUUGCCCGGAUUCACUGGGCGUAAAGCGGGUGUAGGCGGUUCUUUAAGUCAGAUGUGAAAUCCUGCGGCUCAACCGCGGAACUGCAUCUGAUACUGGGGAACUUGAGGACGGUAGAGGUCGGUGGAAUCCCCGGUGUACCGGUGAAAUGGGCAGAUAUCGGGGGGAACACCAGUGGCGAAGGCGGCCGACUGGGCCGAUCCUGACGCUGAGACCCGAAAGCCAGGGUAGCGAACCGG
This 253-nucleotide ribosomal RNA is filed under the name uncultured bacterium. RNAcentral describes it as "partial 16S ribosomal RNA". It matches the Rfam family "Bacterial small subunit ribosomal RNA", at positions 524 to 776 of the family's 1533-position model. The record is from RNAcentral.